GGCUGGUCCUAAGAUAGCGAGUUAUCAAUUGAUCAAAGUCAGUUACAGAUUGAACUCCUUGUUCUGCUCUUCCCCCUUCUCACUACUGCACUUGACUAGUCCAAA
RNAcentral lists this Y RNA (105 nucleotides) under Cebus imitator (Panamanian white-faced capuchin). Its description in RNAcentral is "Y RNA (ENSCCAG00000014146.1)". It matches the Rfam family "Y RNA". From Rfam's summary of the family: Y RNAs are components of the Ro ribonucleoprotein particle (Ro RNP), in association with Ro60 and La proteins. The Y RNAs and Ro60 and La proteins are well conserved, but the function of the Ro RNP is not known. In humans the RNA component can be one of four small RNAs -- hY1, hY3, hY4 and hY5. Lineage: Eukaryota; Metazoa; Chordata; Mammalia; Primates; Cebidae. The record is from Rfam by way of RNAcentral.